This is a long non-coding RNA of Siniperca chuatsi (mandarin fish), 817 nucleotides long. RefSeq lists it as uncharacterized. Lineage: Eukaryota; Metazoa; Chordata; Actinopteri; Centrarchiformes; Sinipercidae. The record is from RefSeq and is a predicted model, not a curated record. The transcript is spliced from 3 exons.
GCAUGAUGCAGGUGAAGGCGGUAAUGCCAACUAUGGCCUGCACAAGCACUCUACAAACAUGGCAUCGGCCACGGACACAGGGGAUCUGUGCAGAGCCUGUUCAGGACUUGGUGGUGAAGAAACCAAAGCCAUCUGCCAGAAGCAUAUGUAAACCAAUGCUCUAUCAAGCAUACACAGGAUCCCUCCCUGACCCAUCAGUGUUGUCCCUUGGGGAAGAAUUAAAAAGCCUCAGACCCCAACUGCUAAUAUCCUCAAUGCUGCAUGGCUUGUCUGAACUUUUACUGGUUGAUUCCAGGUUUGCACCUGUGCCAGGAGGUUCACCUUUGGCCAUGUCAAACACCCAGUUACCCCAGCCUUCCCCAAACUGUGGAUGGUGCCAAAUUUUCCAUACAUGCUGAUGCCCCAUACCUUGGUGCCAAUCCAGAUAUUUAUGACCCUAAUGUAGCUCCUAGUUUUGGGCUUGUAGAAUUUAAAUGCCCAGACAUCUGUAACAUUUCUGAGGCAGAGCAUAUCAAAUGUGCGAAAGGCCAGGCAAAACUGAAAAGAAAUCAUCAAUCAAAAGAAACUGACAGGUUCAAGGUCAAUUGGCAAUAACUGGAUUGCUCUGGUGUGAUUUCAUUACUAACACUGAAGAGGACAUAAGAUUUGAAGUUGUCUGGAGGGAUGAUGAAAUCAUGAUAGAUGAAAGAAAAGGUGGACCUUUACUUUAUUGUUAUGGAUGUGUAUCUCCAGACGGCUAAAUGGUAACUGUAACACCAGUAACUCUUUGUCUCCUAUACUUGUCAGAAAUCUCACCUGUUUCUAGGAGCCUAUAUGU